UACGUAGGGACCAAGCGUUGUUCGGAUUUACUGGGCGUAAAGGGCGCGUAGGCGGCGCGGUAAGUCACUUGUGAAAUCUCUGAGCUUAACUCAGAACGGCCAAGUGAUACUGCAGUGCUAGAGUGUGGAAGGGGCAAUCGGAAUUCUUGGUGUAGCGGUGAAAUGCGUAGAUAUCAAGUGGAACACCAGUGGCGAAGGCGAGUCCCUGGACAACUCCUGACACUGAGGCACGAAAGCUAGGGGAGCAAACAGG
Molecule: ribosomal RNA, 253 nt
Filed under: uncultured bacterium
Lineage: Bacteria
Description: partial 16S ribosomal RNA
Rfam family: Bacterial small subunit ribosomal RNA
Source: RNAcentral